GGGAGUUUGGCCGAGUGGUUAAGGCGUUGUGUUUAGGUCUUCUGUUUCGACUUCCGUCAGGACACCCGAAGCCCCGCAAUGGGAAACCGCGCAGGUUCGAAUCCUGCAGCUCUCA
RNAcentral lists this transfer RNA (115 nucleotides) under Hypoxylon sp. FL1150. RNAcentral describes it as "tRNA-Leu". It matches the Rfam family "tRNA". From Rfam's summary of the family: Transfer RNA (tRNA) molecules are approximately 80 nucleotides in length. The record is from RNAcentral. Lineage: Eukaryota; Fungi; Ascomycota; Sordariomycetes; Xylariales; Hypoxylaceae.